AGGUACAGCACAGCUCAAUGCACAGACACAGGUACAGCACAGCUCAAUGCACUGACACAGGUACAGCACAGCUCAAUGCACAGACACUCUCAGGUACAGCACAGCUUAAUGCACUCACACAGGUACAGCACAGCUCAAUGCACAGACACUCUCAGGUACAGCACAGCUCAAUGCACUGACACAGGUACAGCACAGCUCAAUGCACAGACACAGGCGCAGGUAUUAAUCUGUGUCUGUGAAACCGGCCCUGUAUGUAACUGCAGUCUUCUCUCUGUUGACAGAUUCUCGUUCUGAAGGGUAAGCUCAGACACUUCAUUUUUUUUUCAUCUGUCAGUAAAAUUGUCUCAUUAAUACUCCGUUUGGUGCUUUAUGUGAUUAACUUUAUUCAGCUUUAUCGUUUUGUGAAGAGGUUAUUCUAGCAUAAAUUCCAAGCUUCUGACAGAACAUCUCACUGUAGAUGAAAUAUCCUUGAGCCCAUUAUUUUUAACUGCUGAGCCGAUUUUAUUGCGAUCUUGACUGCGAUGUAGAGCUAAUGUUUUGUUUUCUGUGUGAAGUCAGCAGCAUGGCUAUUGCACACACACAUAUGCAUUUUACCUAUACGGUAUGAAGGAGCACAGAAUGCUUUGACUUUCAUGCGAACUCCAAAGUAUGACUGCCAUUACGAAAAGUCGAGCUUUUCUGUGCCAACGCACAGGGCAUCUGCCCACUUCAUUGCAAGUUUGUGCAACCUUUUUCGCCAAACCGUCAAAGCCUGUGGUUUUUGUGGUGUUCAGCAUGUGGCAUGAAUCUCUCAAGGGUGUGAAGUGAAAUGCAAACCACCUCGUGCCGGGCCUCUUAUUAACGGAUUUAAAUACAGAGAGUUUUCUGAGCUGGCUGCCGACACCAUUUGGCAGGCAGAAACAUCUCGAAGCGCGUUGUCUGCGCGUGGAAUCUAUUAACGUCUCGGUGCUUUCCUCCCCUCAGCGCACUUCCUCCCCUCAGCGAGAGCCAGGGUGCUUCGCCGGACCCCAUCUACUCUGUGCUAGAGCUCAGCAGUAAAAGAGCAAGACAGCGGGAGCCAGUGCCCCACACUGUGGACGAAUCACAGCCGAUCUACACCGAGGUCAAAUUCCCUCUCGCGCCCAGAAAUCGAAACAUAAGGGAAGCUACUGAAUCUACCAUUUACAGUACGGUAAUAUUUCGGAAUGCCUGAGGCCACCAUGGUGCCAGACGAAAUCGCCAAAACAGUGACCAUAGCGUGAUGGAUACGGCCUAGCUGGACGUACUGGCCAGAUCUCAGAAUGACAGUUUUUGAAAGAGACCGUUUGUGAUUGUACACUUUGGUUAGUGACGUGUCGACAAUUCACGGAUCUGCUAGGGCUGCAUUCAAAUUGUACUGUCAAGUAAAGAGUGAAAGCACUUUUAGUAUGUACUUCCCCUGGAUCUGUGGUCCGAGCAGGGUUGCUAAGGCCUACAGGCCAAUCAUAAUAUACUCUUUCCCCCAAUAAAGUUUUAGCAUCAAACAAUGGAACCUGAAAACCUGACAAGACUUGUAUUCGUCCAGCAUUUGUCCUCAAUUCAUCGCUCAAUUCACAAUUAAAUGCAAUUGUUCUUUUUUUGCCUUCCACAGCAUCAUUUGGGUAGUUCACCAACAGACAUCGACAAAAUUAACUCUCCCAAUUGUGUUCGCCAAGCAAAUAACUUAACACUUGGCUUAAAGUUCACGUCUAAAUCAAGGGCGUUGAUUGAAUCCAGAUGCCACUGCGCACUGCCACAUGUCCGCAAAGAUGACGUUUCAUAGCAGGUUGGAUUUGAAUUCACCCCGUGUGAUGGUCCACAUACACAAGCUGCCUGUACAAGGCCAGACACCCUCUUACCUCUAUUGCAAACCAGCAACCCAGCAGCAGUUGUUUUUGUUUUUGCUUUCAAAAUUGUUUAUGCUGGUUUACAGCCUGUAUAUAUCGUUCCAGUGGUUUAUGGAGCAAAAUAAAGUGCACUUUAUUCA
This is a long non-coding RNA of Anguilla rostrata (American eel), 1984 nucleotides long. RefSeq lists it as uncharacterized. The record is from RefSeq and is a predicted model, not a curated record. NCBI's taxonomy places the organism in Eukaryota, Metazoa, Chordata, Actinopteri, Anguilliformes, Anguillidae. The transcript is spliced from 4 exons.